UGGGGAAUUGUUCGCAAUGGGCGCAAGCCUGACGACGCAACGCCGCGUGGAGGAUGAAGACCUUCGGGUCGUAAACUCCUUUCGAUCGAGACGAACGGUCCUGGGGUGAACAAUCCCGGGAAGUGACGGUACCGAGAGAAGAAGCCCCGGCUAACUCCGUGCCAGCAGCCGCGGUAAUACGGGGGGGGCAAGCGUUGUUCGGAAUUACUGGGCGUAAAGGGCUUGUAGGUGGCCAACUAAGUCGGACGUGAAAUCCCUCGGCUUAACCGGGGAACUGCGUCUGAUACUGGAUGGCUCGAGUUUGGGAGAGGGAUGCGGAAUUCCAGGUGUAGCGGUGAAAUGCGUAGAUAUCUGGAGGAACACCGGUGGCGAAGGCGGCAUCCUGGACCAACACUGACACUGAGAAGCGAAAGCCAGGGGAGCAAACGGGAUUAGAUACCCCCGUAGUCC
This 450-nucleotide ribosomal RNA is filed under the name uncultured bacterium. RNAcentral describes it as "bacterial SSU rRNA". It matches the Rfam family "Bacterial small subunit ribosomal RNA", at positions 355 to 796 of the family's 1533-position model. The record is from RNAcentral.